Molecule: ribosomal RNA, 422 nt
Filed under: uncultured bacterium
Lineage: Bacteria
Description: partial 16S ribosomal RNA
Rfam family: Bacterial small subunit ribosomal RNA
Source: RNAcentral
AAUCUUCCGCAAUGGACGCAAGUCUGACGGAGCAACGCCGCGUGAGUGAUGAAGGUUUUCGGAUCGUAAAACUCUGUUGUUAGGGAAGAACAAGUAUCGGAGUCACUGCCGGUACCUUGACGGUACCUGACGAGACAGCCACCGCUAACUACGUGCCAGCAGCCGCGGUAAUACGUAGGGGGCAAGCGUUGUCCGGAAUUAUUGGGCGUAAAGGGUGCGUAGGCGGCCUUUUAAGUCAGAUGUGAAAGCCCACGGCUUAACCGUGGGACUGCAUUUGAAACUGGAGGGCUUGAGUAUCGGAGAGGGUAGUGGAAUUCCCAGUGUAGCGGUGGAAUGCGUAGAUAUUGGGAGGAACACCAGUGGCGAAGGCGACUACCUGGACGAAAACUGACGCUGAGGCACGAAAGCUAGGGGAGCGAACA